RNAcentral lists this non-coding RNA (206 nucleotides) under unclassified sequences. RNAcentral describes it as "RT-16 RNA". It matches the Rfam family "RT-16 RNA". Rfam says of the family: candidate division DUSEL4 (Archaea). The record is from Rfam by way of RNAcentral.
CCUGGCCAUUAGAGGCUGGGCCACAUGUCAAUUUAUUUGCACAUAUUUAAGUUUAUUUUAAGUCAGUAAAAUUCAACUUUGACAAUUAGUAAAGGGUUUCUUUUUUAGAAAAAAAGAAACUACUGUGGUAGAAAAAACUACAAUUGUGAAAAUUGAAAAAGUGGUGGCAGAUAAAAAUCUGAUAAUCGGUAAAUUGGCUAAUCCCA